CUUUACUGUAGCUUUGCAUUGGACUGUGAACCGAUCUGUGUAGGAUAGGUGGGAGGCUUUGAAGCCGGGACGCUAGUUCUGGUGGAGCCAACCUUGAAAUACCACCCUGGUUUGUUUGCGGUUCUAACCUUGACCCGUUAUCCGGGUUGGGGACAGUGCAUGGUAGGCAGUUUGACUGGGGCGGUCUCCUCCCAAAGCGUAACGGAGGAGUUCGAAGGUACGCUUGGUACGGUCGGACAUCGUGCCUAAAGUGCAAGGGCAAAAGCGUGCUUAACUGCGAGACUGACAAGUCGAGCAGGUACGAAAGUAGGACCUAGUGAUCCGGUGGCUCUGAAUGGAAGGGCCAUCGCUCAACGGAUAAAAGGUA
This 367-nucleotide ribosomal RNA is filed under the name uncultured organism. RNAcentral describes it as "bacterial LSU rRNA". It matches the Rfam family "Bacterial large subunit ribosomal RNA", at positions 2099 to 2465 of the family's 2925-position model. The record is from RNAcentral.